RNAcentral lists this ribosomal RNA (497 nucleotides) under uncultured bacterium. RNAcentral describes it as "partial 16S ribosomal RNA". It matches the Rfam family "Bacterial small subunit ribosomal RNA", at positions 28 to 507 of the family's 1533-position model. The record is from RNAcentral.
GAUGAACGCUGGCGGCGUGCCUAAUACAUGCAAGUCGAGCGAACAGACGAGGAGCUUGCUCCUCUGACGUUAGCGGCGGACGGGUGAGUAACACGUGGAUAACCUACCUAUAAGACUGGGAUAACUUCGGGAAACCGGAGCUAAUACCGGAUAAUAUAUUGAACCGCAUGGUUCAAUAGUGAAUGACGGUUUUGCUGUCUCUUAUAGAUGGAUCCGCGCCGCAUUAGCUAGUUGGUAAGGGAACGGCUUACCAAGGCAACGAUGCGUAGCCGACCUGAGAGGGUGAUCGGCCACACUGGAACUGAGACACGGUCCAGACUCCUACGGGAGGCAGCAGUGGGGAAUCUUCCGCAAUGGGCGAAAGCCUGACGGAGCCACGCCGCGUGAGUGAUGAAGGUCUUCGGAUCGUAAAGCUCUGUUAUUAGGGAAGAACAAAUGUGUAAGUAACUAUGCACGUCUUGACGGUACCUAAUCAGAAAGCCACGGCUAACUACGUG